CACCCUUUGUAGGCUCUCGAAAGAGUGGUCUACGUUCUAAAGGUACCCUAUGUACUACUAUACACAUUUCAAAGGCCAGAAUGUCGAAUCAAUUACAACUUUCAGCAAUGGAUCUCUUGGCUCUCGCAUCGAUGAAGAACGCAGCGAAUCGCGAUAAGUAAUGUGAAUUGCAGAUUUCCAGUGAAUCAUCGAAUCUUUGAACGCACUUUGCGCUCCUUGGUACUCCGAGGAGCAUGCCUGUUUGAGUGUCAUUUUAUUCUCAACCAUGUCUUGAUUCAUUUCGAGCCAUGGCUUGGACUUGGGAGUUGUCGGCCCUCACGGGUCGACUCUCCUCAAAUGCAUUAGCGAAUGGACCAUCUCAGUGGGUCUGGCGGGCAAACAUAGCCUUUUCGACGUGAUAACAUCGUAUAUCGGAGUCGAGGCAAAGCGCGUCGGGUGUAAGACAUGGUUUCUCUUCGCUUCCAAUCCCUAACCUGCUAAGUUA
Molecule: ribosomal RNA, 484 nt
Filed under: Tylopilus porphyrosporus
Lineage: Eukaryota; Fungi; Basidiomycota; Agaricomycetes; Boletales; Boletaceae
Description: eukaryotic LSU rRNA
Rfam family: 5.8S ribosomal RNA (bases 97-251)
Source: RNAcentral